UACGUAGGUGGCAAGCGUUAUCCGGAAUUAUUGGGCGUAAAGCGCGCGCAGGUGGUUUCUUAAGUCUGAUGUGAAAGCCCACGGCUCAACCGUGGAGGGUCAUUGGAAACUGGGAGACUUGAGUGCAGAAGAGGAAAGUGGAAUUCCAUGUGUAGCGGUGAAAUGCGUAGAUAUCGGGAGGAACACCAGUGGCGAAGGCGACUCUUUGGUCUGUAACUGACGCUGAGGCGCGAAAGCGUGGGGAGCAAACAGG
Molecule: ribosomal RNA, 253 nt
Filed under: uncultured bacterium
Lineage: Bacteria
Description: partial 16S ribosomal RNA
Rfam family: Bacterial small subunit ribosomal RNA
Source: RNAcentral